RNAcentral lists this ribosomal RNA (433 nucleotides) under uncultured bacterium. RNAcentral's name for it is "partial 16S ribosomal RNA". It matches the Rfam family "Bacterial small subunit ribosomal RNA", at positions 29 to 507 of the family's 1533-position model. The record is from RNAcentral.
AACGAACGCUGGCGGCAUGCCUAACACAUGCAAGUCGAACGAGACCUUCGGGUCUAGUGGCGCACGGUUGCGUAACGCGUGGGAACCUGCCCUUAGGUUCGGAAUAACUCCCCGAAAGGGGUGCUAAUACCGGAUAAUGUCUUCUGACCAAAGAUUUAUCGCCUUUGGAUGGUCCCGCGUUGGAUUAGCUAGUUGGUAGGGUAAAAGCCUACCAAGGCGACGAUCCAUAGCUGGUCUGAGAGGAUGAUCAGCCACACUGGGACUGAGACACGGCCCAGAAUCCUACGGGAGGCAGCAGUGGGGAAUAGUGGACAAUGGGCGAAAGCAUGAUCCAGCAAUGACGCGUGAGUGAUGAAGGCAUUAGGGUUGUAAAGCUCUUUUACCCGGGAUGAUAAUGACAGUACCGGGAGAAUAAGCUCCGGCUAACUCCGUG